This 205-nucleotide ribosomal RNA is filed under the name Bacillus subtilis. Its description in RNAcentral is "partial 16S ribosomal RNA". It matches the Rfam family "Bacterial small subunit ribosomal RNA", at positions 1 to 201 of the family's 1533-position model. The record is from RNAcentral. Lineage: Bacteria; Bacillati; Bacillota; Bacilli; Caryophanales; Bacillaceae.
UUUAUCGGAGAGUUUGAUCCUGGCUCAGGACGAACGCUGGCGGCGUGCCUAAUACAUGCAAGUCGAGCGGACAGAUGGGAGCUUGCUCCCUGAUGUUAGCGGCGGACGGGUGAGUAACACGUGGGUAACCUGCCUGUAAGACUGGGAUAACUCCGGGAAACCGGGGCUAAUACCGGAUGCUUGUUUGAACCGCAUGGUUCAAACA